This 1362-nucleotide long non-coding RNA is filed under the name Cucumis sativus (cucumber). Its description in RNAcentral is "long non-coding RNA (CSAT_LNC003144)". The record is from RNAcentral. Lineage: Eukaryota; Viridiplantae; Streptophyta; Magnoliopsida; Cucurbitales; Cucurbitaceae.
UUGCUUAGGCAAGAAAAGCGGAAAGGAUCCCCACGAAAACUCAGAAACCGGGGGAUCUCGACGCGCAUUUUACUUGACUUAAGCGGCUGGCUUGGCUCCCUCUUUUUUUUCUCUCUCCCUCUCUGCACACUGCCAUGCUGGGUGAAGAACUUUAAGGACCUACUAGGCGGGGUCGGGUUUUGCUUAGGCAAGAAAAGUGGAGAGGAUCCCCACGAAAACUCUGAAACCGGGGGAUCUCGGUGCACAUUUUACAUGACCUAAGCACUGGCUUGGCUCCCUCUUUUUUUUCUCUCUCCCUCUCUAUCGGCUGCCAUGCUGGGUGAAGAACUCUAAGUACCUACUAGGCGGGGGUCAGGUUUUGUUUUCCAUAACUACUUCGACUUAUGUAAUUUACCUUCUCCCUAAAUGCAACCAUAAAUCAAACUAACUAAAUGAAUAAAUUUACACCACAUAAAUCCAUCCUAUGAAGACUACAACGGAGAAAGAUGGGAUAAGGAUAAAGCAUAGGAAGAACAAAUACCCCAUGUUGAGUAAACUCAUAAAAAAUACUUUGUCUUGAGAGUAAUAUAUCCCGAACCAAUUUUCUGCCAGCCAUUAAGAUUUACCCACUGCAACUCUGCACACAAAUAUUUUCUUAUAAACAAUAAUAAACACAAUCUAAUUGGUAUCUUAUGGAUAUAAAAGACAACAUGGAUCCAUAUUGGUAGGAUUUCAAAUUAUUCUACGAACAAAGAAUUUGGAAGGAUUUGUGAUCAACUAAGGAGCUCUCGACUUUCUCCGCUGAAAUUUACCUUCCUUGGGUACUUAUUGACCAGAGACUGGAAGUAGUUGUGCUCUUCGUCCAUAGUAGUCAUCCAACCAGCAAGGGAAAGACCACGACGCGCAGUGGAAUAGGAAAAAGAGCGUCCAGCACAGCUUUCGUGUCACCAGCAAUCCUCUUUCCUUUAUUGGUAGACCGAAAAGGCUUUGUCAAGUAGACAUGAGAAGAAGAUGACGGUCGUGAAUCGACAGUUGAGAAAGUAUUAGAAAUCCGGCGAUUUUGAUUGCGAUUUUGAUUGUCACGUAGAUCGACAGUUGAGAAAUCCGGCGCUGUUAGGGCUAGGAGAAGAAGAUGGCCAUGAAUCGACGAUUUUGAGGAAGACGAAGAAGAUAAGAGAAGGGGAGAGGAGCAGAAAGUAGAGAGAGAGCCGUUAGAGAAAUUUGAAACGUGAGAGAGAAGGGGAGAUGAGGGAAAGGGUUUAUAACUAAAACAAAUUUAAAAUCCAAAACCCAUUUAAAAUCCAAAACCCAUUUAAAAGGUUUAGUUAUAAAGAAGUAGCCGGAUUAGUGAAGAAAAGCCAUUAUUUAUAACUAAACCGAUUU